RNAcentral lists this ribosomal RNA (253 nucleotides) under uncultured bacterium. Its description in RNAcentral is "partial 16S ribosomal RNA". It matches the Rfam family "Bacterial small subunit ribosomal RNA", at positions 524 to 776 of the family's 1533-position model. The record is from RNAcentral.
UACGUAGGGUGCGAGCGUUGUCCGGAAUUAUUGGGCGUAAAGAGCUUGUAGGCGGUCUGUCGCGUCUGCUGUGAAAAUCCGGGGCUCAACCCCGGACUUGCAGUGGGUACGGGCAGACUAGAGUGUGGUAGGGGAGACUGGAAUUCCUGGUGUAGCGGUGAAAUGCGCAGAUAUCAGGAGGAACACCGAUGGCGAAGGCAGGUCUCUGGGCCAAUAUUGACGCUGAGGUGCGAAAGCGUGGGGAGCAAACAGG